Molecule: ribosomal RNA, 599 nt
Filed under: Aspergillus versicolor
Lineage: Eukaryota; Fungi; Ascomycota; Eurotiomycetes; Eurotiales; Aspergillaceae
Description: SSU rRNA
Rfam family: Eukaryotic small subunit ribosomal RNA
Source: RNAcentral
GCGAAUGGCUCAUUAAAUCACGUUAUCGUUUAUUUGAUAGUACCUUACUACAUGGAUACCUGUGGUAAUUCUAGAGCUAAUACAUGCUAAAAACCCCGACUUCGGGAGGGGUGUAUUUAUUAGAUAAAAAACCAAUGCCCCUCGGGGCUCCUUGGUGAAUCAUAAUAACUUAACGAAUCGCAUGGCCUUGCGCCGGCGAUGGUUCAUUCAAAUUUCUGCCCUAUCAACUUUCGAUGGUAGGAUAGUGGCCUACCAUGGUGGCAACGGGUAACGGGGAAUUAGGGUUCGAUUCCGGAGAGGGAGCCUGAGAAACGGCUACCACAUCCAAGGAAGGCAGCAGGCGCGCAAAUUACCCAAUCCCGACACGGGGAGGUAGUGACAAUAAAUACUGAUACGGGGCUCUUUUGGGUCUCGUAAUUGGAAUGAGUACAAUCUAAAUCCCUUAACGAGGAACAAUUGGAGGGCAAGUCUGGUGCCAGCAGCCGCGGUAAUUCCAGCUCCAAUAGCGUAUAUUAAAGUUGUUGCAGUUAAAAAGCUCGUAGUUGAACCUUGGGUCUGGCUGGCCGGUCCGCCUCACCGCGAGUACUGGUCCGGCUGGA